RNAcentral lists this ribosomal RNA (497 nucleotides) under uncultured bacterium. RNAcentral describes it as "partial 16S ribosomal RNA". It matches the Rfam family "Bacterial small subunit ribosomal RNA", at positions 28 to 507 of the family's 1533-position model. The record is from RNAcentral.
GAUGAACGCUGGCGGCGUGCCUAAUACAUGCAAGUCGAGCGAACAGACGAGGAGCUUGCUCCUCUGACGUUAGCGGCGGACGGGUGAGUAACACGUGGAUAACCUACCUAUAAGACUGGGAUAACUUCGGGAAACCGGAGCUAAUACCGGAUAAUAUAUUGAACCGCAUGGUUCAAUAGUGAAAGACGGUGUUGCUGUCACUUAUAGAUGGAUCCGCGCCGCAUUAGCUAGUUGGUAAGGUAACGGCUUACCAAGGCGACGAUGCGUAGCCGACCUGAGAGGGUGAUCGGCCACACUGGAACUGAGACACGGUCCAGACUCCUACGGGAGGCAGCAGUAGGGAAUCUUCCGCAAUGGGCGAAAGCCUGACGGAGCAACGCCGCGUGAGUGAUGAAGGUCUUCGGAUCGUAAAACUCUGUUAUUAGGGAAGAACAAAUGUGUAAGUAACUAUGCACGUCUUGACGGUACCUAAUCAGAAAGCCACGGCUAACUACGUG